RNA transcript from Oreochromis niloticus (Nile tilapia), 3857 nucleotides. It is a transcript of the gene named zinc finger protein DPF3, with no coding region annotated. The transcript is spliced from 11 exons. The record is from RefSeq and is a predicted model, not a curated record. Lineage: Eukaryota; Metazoa; Chordata; Actinopteri; Cichliformes; Cichlidae.
GGUCAAUUUUCGUAGGUUUCCCUCAGAACUGCAAGACGCCGAUAUUGCGUUACAUUGUAGCAAAAUGGCGGCUGUCAUUCAGAAUCCACUAAAAGCGUUGGGCGACCAGUUCUAUAAAGAGGCCAUUGAGCAGUGCCGCAGCUACAAUGCCCGCCUGUGCGCUGAACGCAGCGUCCGCCUGCCAUUCCUGGACUCUCAAACCGGGGUGGCCCAGAACAACUGCUACAUCUGGAUGGAACGUCACCAUCGCAGCCCCGGUGUUGCAGCCGGACAGAUGUACACGUACCCCGCCCGCUGCUGGCGAAAAAAAAGACGGCUGCACAACUCCACAGAUCCCCGCCUGGGCAUUUACGGCCUCCAGCUCGACGGCGGUCUCAUGUCAAAGGACACUUUGCCGACUCAGAGCACUACACUGGAAGCUCUGCUUCGUGGAGAGGGCCUAGACAAGAGGAACGCCUCCAAGAACGAUGAGGAGAGCCUGCUGGAGAUCCAGAGGGUUCUGGAGGCAGAUGCAGCAGAAGAUGCUUUCAAUGAUGACGACGACUACGAGGUGGACACUCCGAAGCGGAGACAUCGGGGAAAAGGAAGAGGUCGGGGUUCAGGUCGCAGGAGGACAGAUCUAGAUGAUGAUAAGCCAUAUGUCUGUGAUAACAGAUACAAACAAAGGCAGAACUCCAAAUCUUCAACCUCAGUCUGUGCAAAGCGCUACAGGAACCGCACAGGACUAAGUUACCACUACACCCAUUCCCACCUGGCAGAGGAGGACAGAGCCGGGGAAAGGAGCACAGUUGCUUCCCAACCCCCCACUGCACCACAGACUGACAGACACAAACGUCCAAAGGGUCCAGGUGGGACCAGCAUUCCCAACAGUUACUGUAAUAAAUGCCAGGGCUCAAACAAGAAAACGGGUAAAUCUGGGUCUCCCUGCUCAGCCUGCCAGUGCACAACUGACUGUGGAGAAGAGAAGGAAGACGGGACUUUUACUGGAGCUGAGGAGCUCUUCGGCACCACCUCAGAGAGCGACACUUCCACUUUUCAUGGCUUUGAGGACGACGAGCUGGAAGAGCCGGCUGCAAACGGCAAUGGGAUACCCGGCCGUCACAGAUAAAGAAAACCUUUUAGAUUUAAAGAGACAUUUUUUUAAUAUGGAUUAACCUCUGGCAAAAAUCUGCUGCUUCUUUUUCAUGUUUUUUUGUUUGCGGAAAGCACAAAGUGAUGAUUUCAGGACAGAAAUGCAAGCAAGUGGUAUUUUAUCUACUGAACAUUGUUAGUUAAUUUAUGAACACCUUUUUUUUUAUAUAUAUAAAUACAUAUAUAAACAAACUAUGUUAUACAUAUAGAUAUAUAUCUAUAUAUCUAUAUGUAUAUGUGUAUAUAUAUAUAUAUGUAUAACAUUAAAGGUUACAAAGGACUGUCAGUGUUUCCUGACAAGUGACUCCGUGCAAAACGGAAGAUGUUUUUGGAGUGUGGCUUUUUUGUUUUUCGUUUUUUCUUCCCUCACUGGAGCAGAAGGAGCAUAAAGGUUAUGAACAAAAACACUGGAGAAAUUGGAAAAUUGCAGACAAGACUUUUUGUUUUUUAAGUGAGUGAUAAGUUUGGUAGAUGAUUGAAUGUCAUUGCAGACCCAUACUUGCAUUGCAGAACUACUGGAUAUUUUUGAAUCGGUAGUCGGUGUGACUAUGAAGACCUCUUCUUCUGCUCUAACUCUGAAUUAAACGUAUGAAAAUGAAGGAACCAAUGAAAGGAGUGCCACAGGCCACUGGAAAUGUUUGGAUGAAGAAACCUUUAUAGUCUUUACACAAGGGGGAGAAAUCAAAUCAAAGGAGCACUCAGCACAUUGACAUGUGGCCCAGGGCUGGGGGGUGACCAGUGAAGAAGAGGAUUUUAACCCUCAAAAACUAAUGAGCCUUCAUGUCCCUCCUGAUUUGGGCCUGAAAUAACUGACUGAAACGGAUGAAUAGGCAUCCAUCACUUCUCCCGGCCAUGUGGCUUAAUUGAAGCAACUGCUCCCUUGACAGUAUAUAUCGACCCCUUGUGAACAUUUGAAAUGUGAGUAUCCGGCUUCAUUUUAUCCUUUCUGCACUGUGCUGGAGCUCCUCUCAGAACUAUGGGAACACUAAAGGCCAGGCCUUUGGACUGUUUGUGCCCAACGGGUGCAUUUGGGGCCCCUGCGGCCCAGCCUGCCCACUCCUGCUCUGCAACUGUGUGUCUGCUGUGUGAUCCGAUGUGACACUAAGACGUCAUUAUCCUCAUCACUGUGCCAGCCUGCCGCUCUGCACUGGAAAUCAGCUCUGACAGCCAUGACCCUCCAACCUGAUUGGACCAGUGACCCUCUGACCUGCAGCCAUAGAGAUGGUGCUCAAACUCACCACUAUUACAUGCAGACCUCUGGACUACUGUAAUAAUACCCCGAUGUGGACACAGGUUUUCUGCUUCUGGCCCUCAGCCUGUUUUUGCUCCCUUUUUCCUCUGCCUCUCUGAUCUCAAAUGGAUGAUUUAGCUCACUUUUUUGUUGCAUAUUUUCUCUGUUGUAUAAUAUUUCUACGUUUUAAAGUUUGAUGGUAUGACUUCUUGCAUUUGUUCAGACUGUAUUGAUACCUCUGUCCUGAUCAGGUGCAUAAUAGCCACAACUACUCAGGCAUCUUUUCACUUCAUCUGCUGUUGAUUGUUCAGCCACUCAGCCCUGAUUUUAUGUGAUUGUUCUCAGUUGGCAGAGUAACACGCGUGGAUCCCGGCUCCCAGUAGGGACUGGGAAUACUGCAGUCUCAUGCUAUAGGAAAACAUUGCAAUAAUAAGCUUCAGCUCUGUCUCUUCUAUGCUCGUUCUACCUGCUGUCACGCAUGGCAUGCAAAAACUCUACAGUCUACAGAGGAGAUCGUGACACAGUGAGAUUCAUCUCGGAUUUGCAUUUGGAAUUAUCGUUACUAGAGUGACAUUACUCCGCUGGGAUACAGCUAUUUACUAAGAAGUGACAAGUGUAAAUCCAAGUUACUUGUGACAUUUCCAUUGAGUGCUUUAGAGGGCCUAAUUGCUUUAUGACAUUUAGAAGGAGCUUGAAGUACUGUAUCCAAAAGCUUUUUUAGGUCCGCUGGUUGCACAUGCUGUCUGAGAGGUCUGUUUUCUUCCAUGUGAUUAUUCAGUAUCGCUGCAAUGUAAUAACAGCUGCUCCGUUUUUGAAGCUAACCAUUAAUCUUAGAUGUGUCUGUUAUGACUUGCGUAAGUGCUUGUACAUUCAAACCAUCUUUCUUCACUUCCCUCAGGGACCCUCCACACACAGCAGUUUAUCUCCACUGGACAAGGAAUGCAUCUGAGACAUGUCGGUUGUCUUGUUUUCCUCAGUUACGUGUUGUUUCCACAGUUAAAAAAAGAAAAAGAAACUGAAAAAAGUGGGUCAUCGUGUCAUUUAUCUUCCUAAGUCAGUCAUGCCAGUAAGUUGAAGCAUGUGUCAUCACUCAUAAUCUGCUAAGUGUUACCUACCGUAUACAUGAAUGGGCCAAGUGCGGUGCAGUUCUGAACAAAAGGCGAAGCUCCCGAGUGCAAAAGUAAGCGAUGUCUGCGUAAUUUAACGUGUCACCAAUCAUUGAAUAGCCUGUAUACCUCGUCAAAGACACAGCAAUAGGCCCUGGUACUCUCUUGUCAAGCCUGCAAAGGAGGGUGGAGAGGGAGGAUCGGGGUGAGAACAGAGCCAAGAGGAGAUGAAAUGGACAUGACCGUUUUUGGGUUUUUGUUUGUUUAUUUUUCAUUUGUUUGGUUGUUUGUUUGUUUUUCAUCUUCUGCUGUAAAUAGUCAAAAAAGAGAGAAUGAAGUCUUUGUUAAACUAUUUUUAUUGUUCUGAAAAAAAUAAACAAAAAAAGGAA